GGGACCCAGAGGCCUCCUUGGUCCCAAAGGCCCCCCCGGCAUCCCCGGCCCCCCGGGCGUCCGUGGCAUGGAUGGCCCCGUGGGGCCCAAAGGGAACGUGGGACCUCAAGGGGAACC
Long non-coding RNA from Pezoporus occidentalis (night parrot), 117 nucleotides. RefSeq lists it as uncharacterized. Lineage: Eukaryota; Metazoa; Chordata; Aves; Psittaciformes; Psittacidae. The record is from RefSeq and is a predicted model, not a curated record. The transcript is spliced from 3 exons.